This is a long non-coding RNA of Ruditapes philippinarum (Manila clam), 2645 nucleotides long. RefSeq lists it as uncharacterized. The record is from RefSeq and is a predicted model, not a curated record. NCBI's taxonomy places the organism in Eukaryota, Metazoa, Mollusca, Bivalvia, Venerida, Veneridae. The transcript is spliced from 4 exons.
UCAUUGAAACUGAGAGAAAAUGCCUUAAUGGAGAAGACAAAAGCGGAAUUACAAUGGUUAGAGCAGCAAAGACAACGAAUCCGAAAUAAAGGUGCCGAUGAUUCAUACCCUCAGAUCAAGAAACGACAGAGAGGCCUCAAGAUGAAGUUACAAGAACAACAAGAAGAGAUUCACAGAAUGAGAGAAGAGAGUAAAGCAGCAGCAAAAUAGCUAGUUUUGAGGAAAUGUUUUUUAGCAAGUUUUGAGAAAAUGUUUUUUAUUUUUUAAAUUAUUAUUUAUACAUAAAUAAGUAAUUUUAAUAAAAUAAUAAAUUAUGGUCAGCUAUUUCACUGUGGUGCCUAAACUUAAACACUGGCUAGGCAAAAUGUUUAAAGUCACUUGAUUAGAAUUCUUGUUUACUCACCACUGUGGUUUCAAGUUUAACAAUUAACUGUAAAAGUCUUCAUGUAAGAAAGCUAUCUAGCUAACAUGAUAAAGUUGUCUUAGGAUGCCUGGUUCUGCAAGAAGCUUGUCUGAGGGUGCCUGCCUCACUGUGCAUGAUAUAAAGCAAAUAGGAGCACCUUAGGUCUUCCUCCAACAUUAAUGCUAAAAAGUCUUCAUAUAUAAAACUUUUUCAAUUGAAAAUCAACCAAAGACUUACAAUGUUACCUGUUCAAUAAGAUAUUUCUUGAAAUAUAAAGUUGAUUGUAGUUUUAUUGGUAUCUAAUAUAUAACUUUGUUUGUUACAGAGUAAGUCAAAGUCUGUAGCUGCACCAAGAGGCACAUUGUAGGGGUUGGAUGCCCAAAAGAAGUUCACACUGAGGCAGAAGUUAGCUCGGUGAACAAAGAUAAUCUGAACAUGUAUAUUCCAAGGUUGUUAGAGGCGCCUCUUCUCAUCUGUUUUAGUGAUGACAGCUGGCCAGUUGGAGAUGGUUAUCUAUACCAGCAUUGUGUCCACUGUUUUUCAACAAUCAACAAGAUAAUAAACCAUCAGUGCGACAGGGGGCGGCCCUUGCUCUCCCAAGAGCAUAAGAUCAAAUAAAAGUUCCGAGAUCUGAUCUGAAGAAGUUUGCAGAGGUGUUUUAUGCUGUACCCCAUGAGGAGAAAGUAAUAAACUCUAUAAUUUCCAGUGCCGUAGAUGAAUUCUGGGAACAAAGACAGUAUGGCGAGCCAUUAACCGAUCUCCACCCUUCAGAAGCAUUUUAUACACAUGAAGAGAUUGACUCAGAUUUGUUAAGUAACAGUAGACGUGUGUUCAAGACAAUAUUUGAUUUAUUUUGAGAAAGUAUUAGAAACAUUUAUAAAGAGGAAGAAUAUGAUUCUCCUGUUGCUUGGCACAAACCGAAACGAAAAACUAACAAAUUUUAUAAAGGUGUUUCCCCUCCGAUUACUAUAGAUGUGCUAAAACCUGUGGUUCAGGAAGCAGUUAUUGACAUAUUAGGUUUAAAAGGGGCCAAAAAAUUGUCGGAAAAGACUAAAUGGGGUAUUCGUAAAAAGAAGGAUCUUGUUGACAAAAUUUUGGUGCAAGAAUUGCGUGAAGAAGAGCCUGAGUGGGUUAAUUAUGAUGAUGAUGAAUUAGCAGUGAAAAUGCAACUAACUGAAACAAUAUUUAAUGAUUUAUUGACAGAUACUGUUCAGACAAUGAACAAAAUCUUUCGCAAGAAGCAAAGUUUGCAGCAGCAGACAUAGGCAGCUAUUUGAUCUGAAUUAUGUAAAAGCUUUUGUGAUCUGAUUUCAUGCAGAUGCUUCUUUCUGAUCUGAUUGAUGCAGAUGCUUAUUCAUCUGCAGUUACAGCUAAAUGAGUGAUCUGAGUAGAAUUAAGAGCUUGCACAUGAAUUUUAUAUUCUGGGGUUUGAAUUGAGAACAGAGAAUCAUGAAGUAGAGCUAAAAUGGCAUUAUGGUCUAGAGAAUUUGUUUCAUAACCUUUUUGCAUUUGAAAUAUAAGGGAUUUUAUUUAUUUUUUUCUACUCUAUUAAAAUAAUACACUCAUCCUUUAAUUAGAUGAUAUUGCUCAUGUAUCAGUGUUAGUUUAUUUUGACAAUUUAGAUAUAUUUAUUGUUUGAAUAAUGAUAAAAGACUUCACGAAGGUCUAACAGUACCUGUAGCAUGAAGGUCAAAGCCUGAAGUCCAGUCUGUAAAGGAUGCAAGAUAUAUAAACUUUAAGAAAUUGUGAUACCCUUGCAUUUUCAUACUCUUGUUGGUAACUUUUGAAAGUCGUUGAUUUCAUUGAAAAUGAAAGUGCUCAUUUUGAACAUUGAGGAAAGAUAGUAUUUUAUUAACUAGUUGCAGGGAUUUUUUUUCAUAGAUCUGUGAUAUUUGUUUUGUAUUGAUAUACUGUGAAAUUAAGAUUGUUUGUUUAAGCCAUUAACUGUCCAGUCUUGUCUUAAACUAAUGGAAUAUUGGACAUGCUCACUUGUGACAAUUAAUGCACAGAAGGGCAGCUGAGGGUCUACUUUAAAUUGCCAAGUAUAUACAGUAAACAGAUAAAUUACCAUGAUUAGAAAAGAUAGAAUAAUGAAAUACCUGAGAUACAUUGUUAAAUGUAGCUUACAGUUCACACAUGCAAUUCUAAAAAUUUAAUGCUAAAAACAUGAUUAAAGGGGUUUUUUUUGCAUUACAAAUUUUUCUGAUUUUACUGUAUUACUUGUUUUUUGGAAGCAGUUUUG